RNAcentral lists this ribosomal RNA (460 nucleotides) under uncultured bacterium. RNAcentral's name for it is "partial 16S ribosomal RNA". It matches the Rfam family "Bacterial small subunit ribosomal RNA", at positions 338 to 795 of the family's 1533-position model. The record is from RNAcentral.
CCUACGGGAGGCAGCAGUGAGGAAUAUUGGUCAAUGGUCGCGAGCCUGAACCAGCCAAGUAGCGUGAAGGAAGACGGCCCUAUGGAUUGUAAACCUCUUUUAUCGGGGAAUAAAAUACGCCACGUGUGGCGUUUUGUGAGUACCCCAUGAAUAAGGAUCGGCUAACUCCGUGCCAGCAGCCGCGGUAAUACGGAGGAUCCGAGCGUUAUCCGGAUUUAUUGGGUUUAAAGGGAGCGUAGGCGGAAAGUUAAGUCAGCCGUGAAAUUGCGUGGCUCAACCUUUUCCGGGCGGUUGAAACUGGCUGUCUUGAGUGAGCGAGAGGUAUGCGGAAUGCGUGGUGUAGCGGUGAAAUGCUUAGAUAUCACGAAGAACUCCGAUUGCGAAGGCAGCAUACCGGCGCGCAACUGACGCUGAUGCUCGAAAGUGUGGGUAUCGAACAGGAUUAGAUACCCCUGUAGUC